RNAcentral lists this ribosomal RNA (494 nucleotides) under uncultured bacterium. RNAcentral describes it as "partial 16S ribosomal RNA". It matches the Rfam family "Bacterial small subunit ribosomal RNA", at positions 28 to 504 of the family's 1533-position model. The record is from RNAcentral.
GAUGAACGCUGGCGGCGUGCCUAAUACAUGCAAGUCGAGCGAACGGACGAGAAGCUUGCUUCUCUGAUGUUAGCGGCGGACGGGUGAGUAACACGUGGAUAACCUACCUAUAAGACUGGGAUAACUUCGGGAAACCGGAGCUAAUACCGGAUGAUAUUUUGAACCGCAUGGUUCAAAAGUGAAAGACGGUCUUGCUGUCACUUAUAGAUGGAUCCGCGCUGCAUUAGCUAGUUGGUAAGGUAACGGCUUACCAAGGCAACGAUGCAUAGCCGACCUGAGAGGGUGAGCGCCCACACGAGAACAGACACGCGCCCAAGACCCCCGCGGGACGCAACAGGAGGAUAUCUCCCGAAGGGGGCGAACCCGAGAGGGCGAAACACCGUGAGAGAGAUAAGUGUUAGCGACUCGAAAAUCUCUGUUAUUGGAAAAGAAUAUAUGUAAAUGAACGUGAACACAUCGACACGAUACAUACACAGAACCGCACGGCUAACCAC